GACGAACGCUGGCGGCGUGCUUAACACAUGCAAGUCGAGCGGUAAGGCCCUUUCGGGGGGUACACGAGCGGCGAACGGGUGAGUAACACGUGGGUGACCUGCCCUCAGCUCUGGGAUAAGCCUGGGAAACCGGGUCUAAUACCGGAUAUGACUCCAUGACGCAUGUUGGUGGGGUGGAAAGCCUUGUGCGGCUGAGGAUGGGCCCGCGGCCUAUCAGCUUGUUGGUGGGGUGAUGGCCUACCAAGGCGACGACGGGUAGCCGGCCUGAGAGGGCGACCGGCCACACUGGGACUGAGACACGGCCCAGACUCCUACGGGAGGCAGCAGUGGGGAAUCUUGCGCAAUGGGCGAAAGCCUGACGCAGCGACGCCGCGUGAGGGAUGACGGCCU
This 390-nucleotide ribosomal RNA is filed under the name uncultured bacterium. RNAcentral's name for it is "bacterial SSU rRNA". It matches the Rfam family "Bacterial small subunit ribosomal RNA", at positions 28 to 417 of the family's 1533-position model. The record is from RNAcentral.